UAAUACACUGAAUGUAAGUCGCUCUGGAUAAGAGCAUCUGCUAAAUGACCAAAA
This is a non-coding RNA of Salmo salar (Atlantic salmon), 54 nucleotides long. NCBI's taxonomy places the organism in Eukaryota, Metazoa, Chordata, Actinopteri, Salmoniformes, Salmonidae. The record is from Rfam.